Molecule: small RNA, 131 nt
Filed under: Vibrio sp. VP6
Lineage: Bacteria; Pseudomonadati; Pseudomonadota; Gammaproteobacteria; Vibrionales; Vibrionaceae
Description: partial 6S RNA
Rfam family: 6S / SsrS RNA
About the family: E. coli 6S RNA was the first non coding RNA to be sequenced, but its function was unknown until recently. It consists of 184 nucleotides that fold into an extended hairpin structure with a large single-stranded internal bulge. The 6S RNA specifically associates with RNA polymerase holoenzyme containing the sigma70 specificity factor.
Source: RNAcentral
UUUACCCUGGGGUGUUCGUCAGACGGAUUUAAGUCCCUGAGCCGAUAAGCAAUACCAAAGGGUUAGUACUUGAUAGCUAUUGAGCAAGCUUGGCAUGCACCGAGAAGCCUACGGUUAUCAUUGCUGAUCCG